Long non-coding RNA from Musa acuminata AAA Group (dessert banana), 3714 nucleotides. RefSeq lists it as uncharacterized. The transcript has 7 exons. NCBI's taxonomy places the organism in Eukaryota, Viridiplantae, Streptophyta, Magnoliopsida, Zingiberales, Musaceae. The record is from RefSeq and is a predicted model, not a curated record.
UUGUCAUACAAAAUUUUCAGAACUAAUCAUUUUGAAGAUUUUGCUCUACUAAAUUUGAGAAGUGCGUGCAGUCCUAUUUAUCUUGCCAUUCCAAAAAGUAACCUGCUUUCAGUCAUCGAACAGAAUCCAUUGCCAUUAGCAAACUGGAAUCAAACAAGUUAUGCAGUCUCUUUUGUUAGAGAAAAAAGAAUAACAUGCUCGUUACAUUUCUCAAUGCUUGGAGUAUUCUCCACAAAGUAAUAAGCCAACCAUGAUUGCUAGCAAAAAUCCUACUUCUGCCUACACUCACCAGUAAAGAAGCAUCUCCAGAGAAACCUUGCUGCUUAUGGACUGGAACUCCACAACUUUAAACUCUCCUUUCGUUAUCGUCCCGGUCUUGUCGAAUGCCACUACUCUUAUUUUGGCCAGGGCUUCAAGAACAUCACCCCCUUUGAUGAGGAGUCCUAUCCUUGCUGCUUUUAGAAGUGCACAAAAAGUUGCAACAGGUGUGGACAGCACCAGUGCACAAGGGCAUGCACUCACAAGAAGGACCAAUGCCAACUGGAACCAGAUUCUGGGAUUGUUUACUCUCAAUACCAGGGGAACUAACGCGACUCCUGCUGCUACGAUUACGACAGCUGCAUAGCAGACAGAGAGAGGGAUUGGUGUACCUGCAAUUAGCAGAAGGAUGUUGAUGUCCAGCGUAAGCCUCCGAAUGGCUGCAAUGCCUCUCAGAAUGAUCGGAUUUAUGCCGACAAGAACUGCUGCUAUCGCGAACCAUCUGAGCGGAUGGAAGAACCGCUUGAACAGUGAAACCACAAGUAGCACUCCACAAGCCAGUAUGUAGGGGCUUGGCCAUUUCUUGGUGAUCUCCGCAGAGCCAUAUGCUUGAACUGUAGCUUCAAGCCUUGCCUGGUUUAAUGCCUUGACUGAUGAAGCAAAACAAGCCAUCAGUUAUGGUCCUGUUUUGGAGAUGCAAUUUUAUGCAGAGCAUGAAAUGUUGUUGAUUAAAGGUGCAUAGAGAUCAGCUUAUGUGGUUCUGACUUCUGACAAUAACUUUCAGAAUUAAACUUGGGUCAGGUGGUAGGAUUGUUGAAAUCAUAGUCAGUUUCCAUAGAGCUGUUUUAGCAUCAUCAUAACUGUGAGCCACAAUUUGCAGGAGGAGGACGCUAGAUCUCAUGUCUCAAUCAGUCAACUGAAUGGUUUAUAGUAGUAUGGAAUGUUAAGAUGUUGAUGUCAUCAGAAUGCAGAGAUGAAUUCAUGCAGAGGCAAUGGUUUAAACUUACGUAUCUCAUGCUGCGAAAUGAGGAGGCUGUCAUGGACUACUAUGACUGUCUUUGAGGGAACGAUCACGGAGACCUUCUGAACUCCACUCAAAGGCUUCAAUAUCUUCUCAAUCAGGGGGACUUCAGACGAGCAGCAGAGGCCCAACACAUCAAAGUAGCUCUUUUGAUGCUUUGGUACCUUUCCUAUCCUGUCCUUGCUUGGUUCUCCCAUCCUUGGGGCCUCUCUUCGCCUGAAAUGAAGUUGUACGUAGCAUGAAACCCAUGCAAAUUGUGAUCCAACAAAGAAAAGGUUCCUACAGAUUUCAAUGCAUCUGGUCUGUGUUCCUUGCAAGCAGAUGUCAGGGGUUCUCCUUGCUGCUUUUUCUCUCGAAAAAAGGAAAGAAUGGUGAUAGAACGUCGAAGAUCAAGAGUACUCUCACCUCAACACUGGAGAGAGACUCUGUAUCAGGGAUUGAUGAGGGCUUAGUGGAGGAUGUAUGAGUUAAAAGCCUCUGUGUAUCAUCAGCUGGGGAAGGACUUAUCUCUUGUUCUUCAUGUUGGGUCUGGUAAAGAAUAAGAGUUGGCUUCCUGAAUGCAGCAUUCAGUGAGUGGCAGAAGCGGUGGUACUUGGCUUAUAUGAAGUGCCACAAGACAACAGGAACUGGGCAGGUGUCCAUGACAUCAUUGGCAAAGUAGAGAUCCUAUCUCAACACAUGAAAAAGAAUUGUUUAUCAAGAGAGAACAAGAAGGAUGUGUGAAAAGAGUGACUGGGGGCUCACUGGACAGAUUUAGCUUCCACAUUACACAUUCGGAACAAAAAGGCUGAUCCUCCACACACUGUUUUGAUGCAGGCAAACUGAACAAAGAAAAAAGAAAUCUGAAGUUUUAGUGUGGAAAUCUGCAACGCAUGAGAAGUUGAUUAGAUGUGCAUACACCAAGAGAAGUUUAAAGUAAAUACCUCUCAAGCACUCAGGAUCUCAGUGGCCAAAAAAGGAUGGGGUUCCUCUUGCUGCAGGAGAGAAGAGGGUGGAGAGGCAAUAAGUAAGCCACUGCCUUGGCUGGCUCUUCCUAGUGGCCAUGCAAACAAGUAAAAAAGAUCAUCAUUUGUUUACAGACUUCGUGAUGACUGCCAUAUACAAAGUUCUCAGUGGACUACUGGUAGACACCCAAAUCUAGUACCUUUUCCCCUUUCUUUAAGCAAAUGGGAGCUCUGCAUGCCUUUCUUUAUGAUUCCACCAUUUGGACUGGACUGGUUGAGCUCCUUGUGGACUGGCAUUCACCAUUUAACUCAUUCAGAGUUGCAAUGACCGGUAUCAGUUCUUAUGUGAUGAAAGCUGAAUCAUAAAAUGCCCUUCAACUCAACUUUUGACAGCAAUUUGCUUGUCUUGAUAGACAGAGUCAUCUAUGUAUCUUUACAUGGCCAACCUCCACACUGGGUGUCAGUUGGUGUUACUGCUGCUGGUGCCAUUGAACUUUGAACUCUUUGAGUGGCCCAUGGUGUGAGAGAAGCCAUGAGCUUGCUUCUGGUAUCUCUUCUCAUAAAGAAGACAUGAGCUUUAGUCACCUGCAAGACUCAUUCACCAUUGGCCUUUGGUCGAGCAACAAGAGGCUGAGGCAUAAGUCCCCAGGCAAAAGCCUACUAAUCCAUGUGCAUGGCUGAAAGGUUUGCUUUAAUGGGAAAAAGGUAUGUUGGCAUUUCAUACAGGAAUCUGUCGUGUUUUGGGAGUGUUCCAACACCACCUCCUAUUGGCCAUUCCACACCUGAAAGAGGGGGAAGACAACAUACAUGGAAAAGGAGGCAAUAAUGGAGAAUCUGACUUGUCUUGAAACAUGAAGAAAGAAUGGAGAUAAAAUAGAAAACUAGUGCUUCUAGACUUAGCACUACAUCAAGGCCAGCCAAUGAGACGAUAAGGGAUAUGCUUCAUCAUCGAAGUGGGAAUUGAUUGAUUUGAUCGAAGGAUCGGAAGAGGCAGAUUCCUCACUCAGUUUUUGAUGAGGAUGCCAGGAAGGAUUGCACAUCAUCAGUGGGAUGGACAGGUCAGAUGAUGGAAUGGCAUUCAGGUGAAGGGUGGAGUCUGACUACUGCACCAUUCCUCCAUGUCAACGCAUUCAUGCAUUCAUGUGGCGACUUUCUGCAUGCAAACUGCAUGCGUUUCCCGAAAAGUUACGUGAACUUUUUUAGGGCAUCCCCGAAGCAUCAUAAUGUCACUAAAAGCUUUGCAUUUGUGCUGCCACUCUUUAUGCCAGAUUGUAUGUGUAUAGGUGGGUGUCUCUUCACAGAGAUAUCACGAACAAAGAUCAUCAUAUAUUAUUAAUUAUCAGGUAAAUUAUUGUUGUCUCAUUUUUCUAUUAGCGUCAGUUCUGCUCAUGAGCGUAAAUUAUUGUUGUCUCAUCUUUCUUUUGGAAGAUGAAAAAUCCAAUGACCAAACUUUUUUUUAUUUUUUAUUUACUUUUAAAUGUAAGCGGUGAA